Molecule: ribosomal RNA, 613 nt
Filed under: uncultured bacterium
Lineage: Bacteria
Description: bacterial SSU rRNA
Rfam family: Bacterial small subunit ribosomal RNA
Source: RNAcentral
GAUGAACGCUAGCGGCAGGCCUAAUACAUGCAAGUCGGACGGGAUUGAAGAGCUUGCUUUUCAUGAGAGUGGCGCACGGGUGCGUAACACGUAUGUAACCUACCCAUAUCAGGGGGAUAGCCUCUCGAAAGAGAGAUUAAGCCCGCAUAAAAUCACAGUACAGCAUUGUAUAAUGAUCAAAUAUUUAUAGGAUAUGGAUGGGCAUGCGGAACAUUAGCUAGUUGGUAAGGUAACGGCUUACCAAGGCUACGAUGUUUAGGGGAUCUGAGAGGAUGACCCCCCACACUGGUACUGAGACACGGACCAGACUCCUACGGGAGGCAGCAGUAAGGAAUAUUGGUCAAUGGGCGGAAGCCUGAACCAGCCAUGCCGCGUGCAGGAAGACGGCCCUAUGGGUUGUAAACUGCUUUUGCAGGGGAAUAAACCUACCAAUGAAUUGGUAGCUGAAUGUACUCUGAGAAUAAGGAUCGGCUAACUCCGUGCCAGCAGCCGCGGUAAUACGGAGGAUCCAAGCGUUAUCCGGAUUUAUUGGGUUUAAAGGGUGCGUAGGCGGCCUAUUAAGUCAGGGGGGAAAGACGGUAGCUUAACUAUCGCAGUGCCUUUGAUACUGAUG